UUAAAAGUAAUGCGAAGGACAUGAUUGUGUAAUUUUGUGUUCUAGAGAGAAGCCGUUUGCUGGAAGGCUUUACACAUAUUAUAGAAUUACUCCCUUCAAACUGAUAUACGGAACCGAAAGCAGUAAGUAUAUCCGCUAAGAAGCGUUAUUUUCUAAGAAGUGAGUCAGGUAAUAGACUAACUAGGGUGGAACCGCGGAUAUAGAUCUUCGUCCCUUGU
Molecule: non-coding RNA, 218 nt
Filed under: Veillonella montpellierensis
Lineage: Bacteria; Bacillati; Bacillota; Negativicutes; Veillonellales; Veillonellaceae
Description: T-box sequence
Rfam family: T-box leader
About the family: Uncharged tRNA acts as the effector for transcription antitermination of genes in the T-box leader family. T-boxes are found upstream of many aminoacyl-tRNA synthetase genes and some amino acid biosynthetic genes usually in Gram-positive bacteria.
Source: RNAcentral